This 414-nucleotide long non-coding RNA is filed under the name Populus tremula. RNAcentral's name for it is "long non-coding RNA (PTRE_LNC002924)". The record is from RNAcentral. Lineage: Eukaryota; Viridiplantae; Streptophyta; Magnoliopsida; Malpighiales; Salicaceae.
UUCUAUAGUCAUCAACAGCCUUGUCCAAUGUGCUCCUCACAUGCUGGCACGUCAACAUCAACUUCUGACAUGCAAGAAGUCGAAACUCGAAAAACAGAAACGGGAAACGGAAAAGAAAAUUGCAGUAGCUGCAUAAUCACUUAAGAGGUCGAGGUCUUGGAAACAAUUCAAUCACUCGAAGAUAGAUGUUUCAUGUAGCAACAAGACUCUGCUAUUGAUUGAUUAAACGGAACCGUGCUCCAUUCCUAUCUUCAGCAACAACAAAAAAAAAAAUUAACAACAUUUUCUUUCAUUAUUAUUUUUAAGGUUAGAUAGAGAGCAUCCCGUCUCCUUACCUGCUUAUUACUAUUGACGGUCUGAUUUCUGUGCUUCUGGUUUUCUUCACUCUUCUUCUUCACUUGUUAUGGCCCCCAA